CACAACCCAAUUGGCCUCAGGCUGCUGCACUGUCACCGGUCUUUUCUCCGGCGACCACUGGCCUGAUUCCCCAACUUUCCCCGCAAUGCUGGUGGUUGUGGCGACAUGGGAAGUCGGUGGCUUUUGAGGCUCAUGCAGGGAUUGUUUGGUUAACUGAAGUGAGGCCAUGUAACACCUAUGCAGCUUGGCAGUUAAAGUAGCUGAAAGAAGCUUGGAAGACGACGACUGGGAGGCGUUGGGAUUGUAAGGGAAGUUGGUUCUCGCCCUCGGACCACACAUGAGCCUCGCCGCCUCGUCAUAGGCCCGAGCAGCGUCCUCCGCCGUUUCGAAUGUGCCCAGCCAA
Molecule: long non-coding RNA, 343 nt
Filed under: Vitis vinifera (wine grape)
Lineage: Eukaryota; Viridiplantae; Streptophyta; Magnoliopsida; Vitales; Vitaceae
Description: long non-coding RNA (VVIN_LNC000971)
Source: RNAcentral